AGUUGUAGUUUGUUUUGACAUUUCUGUUUUAUUUAACCUAACCUAUGUUUUAUUGUGUUGUAUACAAGGAGUUGUAUAUUGAAAUUGAAUUGAUUCUUGUUUCAUUGAAUAUAGAGGAGUUGUUCUGUUGCAAGUUGUUCUAGUUUUGUUGUUUUAAAAUCUGCGAAAAACUAUUUAUAGAUAAUGGUGAACUUAAACAAGAAAUGGACAUGCAGUUUGCUGAUUACUUAAUUGUGUACUCACAACACAUAGGAUUUCUCUGACACAGUUUCCAGUACAGAACUGCCACAGGAAUCUCCAGUGGAGUUGCAACCGCUCUCACGGACGUCCACAAAUCAAGUUACAAAACUGUUACAUGACUCUAUUGGAGUUGCAACCGCAAUUGGAUAAAAGUGAAAUUCGAAUAAUGCCAGAAAGACUAUAACCGUCCAAAGUGAUAGUGUGAAAUUAAAAUCAAAUGAUUACGUAUAAAUCAUAUUUAUAAUAAUUAUAAAUAGUAGCUGUAUUUUUUAAAUAAACAGAUUUGAUAAGUUA
RNAcentral lists this long non-coding RNA (534 nucleotides) under Diabrotica virgifera virgifera (western corn rootworm). Its description in RNAcentral is "uncharacterized LOC126883274". The record is from RNAcentral. Lineage: Eukaryota; Metazoa; Arthropoda; Insecta; Coleoptera; Chrysomelidae.